RNAcentral lists this non-coding RNA (29 nucleotides) under Rattus norvegicus (Norway rat). Lineage: Eukaryota; Metazoa; Chordata; Mammalia; Rodentia; Muridae. The record is from RNAcentral.
UCCCGAAGAUGUACGCAUUCUUGAGGAAU